CUCCCGAGCCCUUCCCGGGCCUGGAACCCGCUGGUUCCCCCCCCCGAGCAGCGUGGCGGGGCCGGGGUUGACGUUUUUCUCUCUUUUUAGGCCAAUUCUACAGCAACGGCGGCCACUCCAACUCGGGGAGCGGCGGCGGAGGCGGCGGCUCCUCGGGCUACGGCUCCUACUACCAGGGCGGCGACAACUACAACUCGCCCGUGCCCCCCAAGCACGGGGGCAAGAAGCAGCAGCACGGGGGGCAGCAGAAGCCCUCCUACGGCUCGGGGUACCAGUCCCACCAGGGCCAGCAGCAGCAGUCCUACAACCAGAACCAGUACAGUAACUACGGCCCGCCGCAAGGCAAGCAGAAAGGCUACAACCACGGCCAGGGCAACUACUCCUCCUACUCCAACUCCUACAACUCGCCGGGCGGAGGGGGCUCCGACUACAACUACGAGAGCAAAUUCAGUGAGUGGGGCUCGAUUGUUUUGGGGGGAGGGAGCUGGGGGGGGGUAAAACCACACAAAGGAUGCUCCAGCCCUUUGCUCCCGUCCGCUGGGUGCAUGGGAGCGACGUGGCAGGCUCCAAGCGCUCUUUUUUGGGUCAUUUUGCUGGUAAAUUCAAUCCACUUGGGGUCGGGGUGCUCGCUGCUCCGUCCUGAGAGGCUGCUGCUGCUUUUUGGGGGGCAAACGGGGAACCAUGGGGGUGGCUUGGGACAACCAGGUGGGUGUAUUGGAUCCCCGAGGGGCAGCCGUCCCUUUGGCUACUGGGAGCAGCUGGGCUGGGCACUGGGAGCAGCUGGGCUGGGCACUGGGAGCAGCUGGGCUCGCUGGGUGCCUGCAGGAGGAGCUGCAGCCCCGCGCUCAGCCCCGGCUCCCUUCCAGGUUACGGCAGCAGCGGCCGCGGCGGCGGGGGGAACAACUACUCCGGGGGUGCCUCCUACAACACCGGCUCACACGGGGGCUAUGGGGGAGGAUCUGGGGGCGGAGGGUCCUCGUACCAAGGUGGAUAUUCCUCGCAGUCCAACUACAACUCCCCGGGCUCCGGCCAAAAUUACAGCGGCCCCCCCAGUUCCUACCAGGCGUCCCAAGGCGGCUACGGCAGAAACGAUCACAGCAUGAACUACCAGUACAGAUAAAGCAGCCCCCCCUCGGCGGGCACGGGGCUUUGUUACCUCCUGCCCCCGCUCCCCCUUUGAAUAUUCAGUUUUAUGGCCUCACAGUAAACGUAACCCCCCCCUUCCUCCCUUUUCCCCCCCGUUUCCAUGUUGCAGUGCUCUUUGUGAUACCGGUCACUAAUGGUUGAGUACCUGUAAUUCCAUCCUUAGCUGUAUUUUGGGCAUCUCUGUAUUUAAUGGUUUGUUAGUUGCCAUUACGACUUUGUCUGAAUAGGGUUUUUGAGUUACUACGAGUUUUCGGAAUCCUUUUUCUAUUUAAAAAGUGGCGUUGCCGUGUUCCCACAGUGUGGCUUUAAAUAGAUAAGGGAUAUGUCACCUGUUAAUGCUUUCGUGAAGUGAGUUAAACGAGCUUUCUGUAUUUUAAUGCUUUAGUGUUUCAGUUUUAUAAGUGAAGAUUUUAUUUUAAAAACCAGUGGGACAGAGUGGGUUUUGUAUGCCUGAAUUGUUCAGGCAGCACACCUGGAUUCAGCUGAAUGUAGACAAAUAAACACAAACUCUUGAUGGCUUCGUCUCCGAGC
This 1677-nucleotide long non-coding RNA is filed under the name Anas platyrhynchos platyrhynchos (common mallard). RNAcentral's name for it is "lncRNA (ENSAPLG00000017336.1)". Lineage: Eukaryota; Metazoa; Chordata; Aves; Anseriformes; Anatidae. The record is from RNAcentral.